UGAAGCCUGCAGACCCCUUAGGCGCAGGUGUAACUGCUGUGUGAGUACAAACCAAAACCAAGACAGGAGAAAAAAAAAAAAAAAAACACACCCCUCCAUUUAUUGUGGCAAGGCUUUGGAUCCAUUCUAUGACAAUUCUGAUAAAAAUAACUUGUCCCAGAAUUUCCCGUGUGCCAAGGAUCAUCAAAAGCAACAUCCACUGGUAUGAAGCAGACAUCGGAGACUAAUUCAGACAGUAGUUUCCCUGGAAUGAAUGAUGGUGCACCACAUUUA
This 273-nucleotide long non-coding RNA is filed under the name Chinchilla lanigera (long-tailed chinchilla). RNAcentral describes it as "lncRNA (ENSCLAG00000024252.1)". The record is from RNAcentral. Lineage: Eukaryota; Metazoa; Chordata; Mammalia; Rodentia; Chinchillidae.